This 746-nucleotide ribosomal RNA is filed under the name Pantoea sp. Wr1M23. RNAcentral's name for it is "bacterial SSU rRNA". It matches the Rfam family "Bacterial small subunit ribosomal RNA", at positions 23 to 760 of the family's 1533-position model. The record is from RNAcentral. Lineage: Bacteria; Pseudomonadati; Pseudomonadota; Gammaproteobacteria; Enterobacterales; Erwiniaceae.
CUCAGAUUGAACGCUGGCGGCAGGCCUAACACAUGCAAGUCGGACGGUAGCACAGAGAGCUUGCUCUCGGGUGACGAGUGGCGGACGGGUGAGUAAUGUCUGGGGAUCUGCCCGAUAGAGGGGGAUAACCACUGGAAACGGUGGCUAAUACCGCAUAACGUCGCAAGACCAAAGAGGGGGACCUUCGGGCCUCUCACUAUCGGAUGAACCCAGAUGGGAUUAGCUAGUAGGCGGGGUAACGGCCCACCUAGGCGACGAUCCCUAGCUGGUCUGAGAGGAUGACCAGCCACACUGGAACUGAGACACGGUCCAGACUCCUACGGGAGGCAGCAGUGGGGAAUAUUGCACAAUGGGCGCAAGCCUGAUGCAGCCAUGCCGCGUGUAUGAAGAAGGCCUUCGGGUUGUAAAGUACUUUCAGCGGGGAGGAAGGCAUUGUGGUUAAUAACCGCAGUGAUUGACGUUACCCGCAGAAGAAGCACCGGCUAACUCCGUGCCAGCAGCCGCGGUAAUACGGAGGGUGCAAGCGUUAAUCGGAAUUACUGGGCGUAAAGCGCACGCAGGCGGUCUGUUAAGUCAGAUGUGAAAUCCCCGGGCUUAACCUGGGAACUGCAUUUGAAACUGGCAGGCUUGAGUCUCGUAGAGGGGGGUAGAAUUCCAGGUGUAGCGGUGAAAUGCGUAGAGAUCUGGAGGAAUACCGGUGGCGAAGGCGGCCCCCUGGACGAAGACUGACGCUCAGGUGCGAAAGC